GGAGUUGUGAGCCCAGUGGUUGUGCAUGCUUUGUAUGUAUGAUGUCCUGGGUUCAAUACCCAGCUUCUCCU
This is a non-coding RNA of Dallia pectoralis (Alaska blackfish), 71 nucleotides long. The record is from the annotation of a GenBank genome assembly. Lineage: Eukaryota; Metazoa; Chordata; Actinopteri; Esociformes; Umbridae.